CGGGCGCUUGUGGUCGUGGUCCCGGGCGUCCGGCAAUGCCGCGCUCGCCUCCGCGGCGCCGGUGCCGGUGAUGGGCUCGUGGAGCGCGAGGAUGACCAUACUGCCUUUGGAAUAAUAAAAUCAGCAAAAAAACUAUUUUGCAUAGGCGUUACGAGGUAUUGGGAAGUAUUUGGAAGUAUUUCCAAGUAUUGUAAAAGAGAUCGGUUAGUUAUAUUUUUAACUGCAUUUAAUGUUUCAUGUAUGUGUCUAAAGAUUUGAUGUGACGGAUACUGUAGCAAGUUUUUAAAAAGAACUUCAGUCGUCGCUUUCUUAUGGGCUGACAUAAAUCGGAAUGGUUAAAACCUACCCUCAGAGCUCGUCUCUCCGCAUCCGCCGCGCAAAAGUGUAUGCGUGCCGUCCUGCGCGCGUUCUGGUUAUUUUGCAAAAAUAUCCUCCACUUUUCUAUAAAUCACAACUCAGUGCAACACAUCCAAAAUGUUCAGAAAUCAUGUUCUAAUAUUGUUCAUGUAGAUCCUCCUUGAAAAACUUAAUUUUAUAAACACCCUCGAGAUGCACCUUUGCGAAAACGCCCUCCCGCAGUCCCGAACGACCGAACCUCCUCGCUCUCCUCCCGGCUCCCCUCUCCUGCUCCCCACCUCCGCCCUCUCUUUCCCUCUCUGCUCUCUGCGUCCGCGCCGCCGCCUCCCCUCCCCUUCUCCCUCUCCGCCUGCCUCCAUCGUCCCUCCCAGCCGCCGCUCCUCCUGCUGUUCACCGCCGCCGCCCGCUCCUGCAAGAUCCGGAUCUGGCGGUGGGGCGUGGCUUGGAGGAUGACCGGGGGGGGUGGAGGAUCCAGAUCCGGCAGCGCGGCCCGACCGAUGCCGGUGCUUGGGCGGGUAGGACAGCCCCCCUCACCGCAGCGCUCCUCCCCUCUGGGAUCCGGCGCCCGGCCGGGCUGCCUCGUGGAGCAGCGGCUCCUCCCCUCCGGGAUCCGGCAAGGGGGUCCCCUCCGGGAUCCGGCAAGGGGGUGCCUCGUGGAGCGGCGGCUCCUCCCUCCGGAUCCGGCGAGGGCCGCGGCUGCAGGGCCGGCGUGGCACACCCACCUUGUCUUCCGGAUAGGAAAGAUGGCCGCGCUGCUUUGCUGACGAAGGAAGAACUGCUCGUGCCAAUCAGCUUAACCAGAUCCUUGCGUGAAUUAAGAUAAUAGGAGGAUGUAUUACUCUGCACCAGUUCUAGAGGCAAGACCAGAGGUAUGUGUUCUUACUAAAUCAUCAAUCAUCUAUAUAAUUGAAACACUAUGCACCAGUUCUAGAGGUAAGACCAGAGGUAUAUGCAAUUGCCCCUUUUUUUCUUACUGAAUCAUCAAUCAUCUAUAGAAAUAAAACAAGGUUUUAACUGUAGUAGAAAAUAUUUUGUGCAGGAGAACACCCCUUACGUUUUGUGGAGGAGAACACCCGUUGCCCCAAAAUCUCCGGAGAAGUCAGCGAAUCCUCAGAGCAAGAGGUACAGAAUUGGUGAGUGAGACUUCCACCCCUCUGAUUCAUUACUGAUAUAAUCAGCCGGAUCCAAUAUUUUCUUAUUUCUAUCACCAUCCUGUGAGGCUAUGUCAUGUUUGCGUUCAGAAAUCAGCAGCAAGGUAUCAUGACGACGUGAUCUGGGAAACAGCUCUCCACUGCUUGCUUGCUCAACCUCCUCUUUUUCCACUGAAGUUCUAUCAUAUAAGAAGUUUCUUAAUUUUGGAUAGGCCACUGAAAACUUAUUUGUUGUCAAAAUGGGUUAGUCACAAGUUUAAAGGAAAUGGCUGCCAGCCUUCCUGUGCGCCGGUUAUUUUUCUUUUAUUGGUGUGAAAUGUUUCUUUUGUCCUAAUGUCAUCUGAAUUUUUAUUCAUUGUGUAUAUUAGCCUUAGUGUAAUUUCUUUACCCAGCAGGCCAUCUACUGCUUGCAUGUGCUUCAUUUUGUUUUAAUCCAAUAAAGCAGUGUAAUUUCCCAAGGUAAUAUUGUUGCUGCCUUUUGGUCUGUGCUUGGUAAUUCUCUUCCAUUAAAAGGGCGUCUACUUUCCUCAUGAUCUUGAAUUUAGUAUGCUUGAUAAUAAGUUCAACACCCAAACUAGGAAUAGAUAAUAAUCUUAAUGAGCCGAAGCAUUAGUUUGCAAGAAAGAAUUUUAUUGACUAUUGAUAUCCAAACCUCAUGGUCUGCAGGUAGAUUUGGAGGAAUAUAUGGGCAGUCAAAGCUUUCGAACAUAUUGCAUACUAAUGAACUUGCCAGUGAUUUAAGGUAUGUCUUUCUCCAUCUAAUACAUGACCUUUUAUUUUUUUUGGUGCAAGUAUUGUACAUUUAUGUGAUAAGGACAUAAGGUAGAGUGGUAGACAUUGCUUUUUUAGUUCAGUCUGUUUUUCCCCAUGCUACCACAUUAAUGCAGACCUUUUACUAAUUGGGCUUCCUACUGCUAUGCUAUGGUUAGUUUUUUUUUGAGCGUGCUAAACUUUUUUUACUUCAAAAAUUGUUAAUCCUGAUGUAGUUAUGUUUACUUUUGAUUGUGGAAAGAAGUCGAGAAGGCUAUCCAUCAGGUUUAAGAGGCUUGGUAUGGUUGAGAUCCCAAGAUAUUCUCUCCGUUUGCCUUGAAUGCUGCUUGCAAAAAUAGUCUCUGUUUGGAUUGAAUACAACCUGCAACAAGACUUAUUUUAUCAUUAUUAAUUGCCUAUCAUUUUUUAGAUUUCAAAAACAUAUUAGGAGAGUGUGCAGACUGCCCAUAAUGUGAUCUCAUGCAUUUUACUGCUGGGUUUGUGACUACACAUUGACUUUUGGACCUAUGCAGGUUUUCUAAUUUUAUCGGUACCUGCAUCAAGCCACCAAGGUUAGCUUCUGGGAGGCCUAAUUAUCAUUGCUCAGGUGUAUACAAAAUUCUUACUUUCACUUGCAUUGUAGACUACGGAUAUGAGCAGUAGACUAAUGUAGUUACCUGCAACUUCAUUAUUCAGAAUGCUGAAGUUUAGAUAGUAUAGUAUUAUCAGAAUGAAAUUAGAGAAGUGGUCCUAAACUAAGCUGGUUGACAAAUAGAAGUAUUAAAACUUCCCAUAUCCAUUCCCUUGACAGAAGCAUUACUCUGGCAGAUAUGCUCUUAUUAUUAUAAAAAUGUUUUCCAUAAGUUAUUUUUUCCUCUACGACCAAGCCACAGAAGAGCAAGGAAGAGGUUGGCCUCCCAUGCACAAGCUCUUUUUCUUAUCAGCAUCAGAUAGGUUAUUGUCAGAACCUAAGUCUGAAUAAAAAAUUAUUUAGUAGUCCUUAUUUCGGUACUAAAUAGUCAUGUUUCUGAUGGCUCCCUUUUAUAAUGGAAGGAAGGAUGCUUAGUCACAAGAAUGGAGAAUUGGAGCUGAGAUUCAUGCCGACUCAAUAAUUUUUUAUGGAUUAUUCAGCUACACCACACUGUUGCGUUACUGUUGUGGUUUAUGUAUUGUUCAAGGCAUAGUUUUUUCCCGAGAUGAGUUGAAGGCAUAGUUAAGAUAACCUGUAAUUGCUUGUGCAUGAACUUAUGCUGCUUACAGUAAAAUUAUCGACCUUGUAUUAGUAAGUGAUUUACGGUAUCAGUUACAUAAUGCCCUUUCAUGUGUAAGCUCCUAUCUUUGUUAAAAUACAAAUCCAUUCCUAUUGUUAGGCUUUCACUGUGUCA
This is an RNA transcript of Panicum virgatum (switchgrass), 3643 nucleotides long. RefSeq lists it as uncharacterized. The record is from RefSeq and is a predicted model, not a curated record. The transcript has 3 exons. Lineage: Eukaryota; Viridiplantae; Streptophyta; Magnoliopsida; Poales; Poaceae.